Long non-coding RNA from Perognathus longimembris pacificus (Pacific pocket mouse), 184 nucleotides. RefSeq lists it as uncharacterized. The record is from RefSeq and is a predicted model, not a curated record. Lineage: Eukaryota; Metazoa; Chordata; Mammalia; Rodentia; Heteromyidae. The transcript has 2 exons.
UCUCAGCCUCCAGAGCAGCUAGGAUUACAAGUGUGAGCCACCAGUGCCCCAGCUUAGGUCCAUCUUUAAUAACUUACUUGAUCUAUUAUUUGCUUGAUUGUAUGAAGGCGAAUAAUACCAGAGCUACGUUGGUCAGUUCCAGCAUCUCGUGGUUCACUCUCUAUUCACAAAGUCAGGUCAGGAC